This 22-nucleotide microRNA is filed under the name Homo sapiens (human). RNAcentral's name for it is "hsa-miR-4471". The record is from miRBase by way of RNAcentral. Lineage: Eukaryota; Metazoa; Chordata; Mammalia; Primates; Hominidae.
UGGGAACUUAGUAGAGGUUUAA